GACGAACGCUGGCGGCGUGCUUAACACAUGCAAGUCGAACGGAAAGGCCCUGCUUUUGUGGGGUGCUCGAGUGGCGAACGGGUGUGUAACCCGUGAGUAUCCUGCCCUUUACUUUGGGAUAACUUCAGGCGAGUGGUGCUAAUACCUGCUAGCAGCUCCUGCUGCAUGGUGGUGUUUGGAAAGUUUCGGAGGUUGGGGAUGUACGCGCGGCUUAUGAGCUUGUUGGUUGGGUAGUUGCUUACCCAGGGUUUGGCGGGUGGCCGGCAUGAGAGCGGGAACGGCCACAUUGCGACUGAGAGACGGAGCAGAGGCGUACGGGAGGCAGCAGUGGGGAAUAUUGCACAAUGGGCGGAAGCCUGAGGCAGCAACGCCGGGAGCGGGAUGACGGCCAUCGGGUGGUAAACCGCUGUCGCCUGAGACGUAGCGGGAGUGACGGUAAUAGGUAAAGAAGCACCGGCUAACUACGUG
This 468-nucleotide ribosomal RNA is filed under the name uncultured bacterium. RNAcentral's name for it is "partial 16S ribosomal RNA". It matches the Rfam family "Bacterial small subunit ribosomal RNA", at positions 28 to 507 of the family's 1533-position model. The record is from RNAcentral.